GUAGAUCCUCUAUUUGUUAGCCA
RNAcentral lists this non-coding RNA (23 nucleotides) under Arabidopsis thaliana (thale cress). Lineage: Eukaryota; Viridiplantae; Streptophyta; Magnoliopsida; Brassicales; Brassicaceae. The record is from RNAcentral.